GACGAACGCUGGCGGCGUGCCUAAUACAUGCAAGUAGAACGCUGAAGGAGGAGCUUGCUUCUCUGGAUGAGUUGCGAACGGGUGAGUAACGCGUAGGUAACCUGCCUGGUAGCGGGGGAUAACUAUUGGAAACGAUAGCUAAUACCGCAUAAGAGUGGAUGUUGCAUGACAUUUGCUUAAAAGGUGCACUUGCAUCACUACCAGAUGGACCUGCGUUGUAUUAGCUAGUUGGUGGGGUAACGGCUCACCAAGGCGACGAUACAUAGCCGACCUGAGAGGGUGAUCGGCCACACUGGGACUGAGACACGGCCCAGACUCCUACGGGAGGCAGCAGUAGGGAAUCUUCGGCAAUGGACGGAAGUCUGACCGAGCAACGCCGCGUGAGUGAAGAAGGUUUUCGGAUCGCAAAGCUCUGUUGUAAGAGAAGAACGAGUGUGAGAGUGGAAAGUUCACACUGUGACGGUAUCUUACCAGAAAGGGACGGCUAACUACGUGCCAGCAGCCGCGGUAAUACGUAGGUCCCGAGCGUUGUCCGGAUUUAUUGGGCGUAAAGCGAGCGCAGGCGGUUAGAUAAGUCUGAAGUUAAAGGCUGUGGCUUAACCAUAGUAGGCUUUGGAAACUGUUUAACUUGAGUGCAAGAGGGGAGAGUGGAAUUCCAUGUGUAGCGGUGAAAUGCGUAGAUAUAUGGAGGAACACCGGUGGCGAAAGCGGCUCUCUGGCUUGUAACUGACGCUGAGGCUCGAAAGCGUGGGGAGCAAACAGG
RNAcentral lists this ribosomal RNA (763 nucleotides) under uncultured Streptococcus sp. RNAcentral's name for it is "bacterial SSU rRNA". It matches the Rfam family "Bacterial small subunit ribosomal RNA", at positions 28 to 776 of the family's 1533-position model. The record is from RNAcentral. Lineage: Bacteria; Bacillati; Bacillota; Bacilli; Lactobacillales; Streptococcaceae.